UUUAAACGCAGCCAUAAGUUUCUGUGUCCAACUUUGAUCGUCCAUCUUAUCUAUUUUUUUUAAAAAAAUUAAAAACAUAAAUUACAGAUAAAAUAAUAUUCACGUUUUAUCGUCUAAUAAUAAUGAUGAUGAUGAUGAUUCUUUUUUAAAUAAGAUGAACGAUUAAAGUUAGACACAUAAACUCAUGGUUACGCUUACA
This 199-nucleotide microRNA precursor is filed under the name Oryza sativa Japonica Group (Japanese rice). RNAcentral's name for it is "MIR812 microRNA precursor family". It matches the Rfam family "MIR812 microRNA precursor family". The record is from Rfam by way of RNAcentral. Lineage: Eukaryota; Viridiplantae; Streptophyta; Magnoliopsida; Poales; Poaceae.